This is a non-coding RNA of Biomphalaria pfeifferi, 334 nucleotides long. Lineage: Eukaryota; Metazoa; Mollusca; Gastropoda; Planorbidae. The record is from the annotation of a GenBank genome assembly.
UUUGUUUGUGUAAAUUUAAAAGCUUUUUGUUUUGUACCAGCAAGUUGUCAAUAUACCAGGCAAUUAAACUAAUACUGUCACAUUAUCCAUUGUUUUAAUAAUUAUACAUUUGUCAACACAACUUAAAGUUUCAAUUGACAAUUUAGUCAUUUUUUCCCAUUUUAAACCAUUGAAUGGUCCAGCUUGUUUACUUUCUGACACAUAAUUCAUUUAUUGUAAAGUUGCUUCAAUUCAAUCAUCAUUUCUAUAGUUGAGAAUGAUAUAUUUUACUAAUAAGUACCAAGUCUUUCUUUAAAAAAUAUACUAUUUGAAAAUAAAGUGUUUUGAACAGAAG